AACUAUAAAAUUAAAAAAGUGGGCGGUAUUUUAGUCUAUUUAGAGGAACUUGUCCUAUAAUUGAUAUUCCACGUUUUAAAUUACUUAUAUAAAAGUUUGUAUAUCGUCGUAGAUUGAAUUUUUUAUUAGAAUAUUAAUAUUCAAAAAUUUUAGAGAAAAAAAUUCAGAUCAAGGUGCAGUUUAUAUAUAAGAAGAGAUGAGUUACAAUAAAUUUAUUUAGCUGAUUUAUUAUUUAAAAAUUUUAAGGAAGGAGGAUUUAAUAGUAAUUUUAUUUAAAUUAUUAAAAUGAUUAAAGCUCUAAGAUAUGUACAUAUCGCCCGUCACUUUCAUUAUAAAAUGGAAUAAGUCGUAACAUAGUAGAGGUACUGGAAAGUGUUUCUAGAAAGACAGAUUAAAGCUUUAUUAAGCAUUUUAUUUACAUUAAAAAGAUCUUUUAAUAAAAGUAAUUUGAUUAAUUAAGAAAUUAUAUAAGUAUAUAUGUGUGUAUAUAUAUAUAUAUAAUUAAUUUUAUUUUUCAAAAAUUUUUUUAUGUUUUAUUAUUAUUGUUAGAAAAAAUUUAUUUUUAUAAUAAAGUAUUAAUAUUGUGAAAGAAUUUUUUUAAUUAAUAAAAAGAUAUAUUUAUUUUUUGUACCUGGGUAUCAGGGG
RNAcentral lists this ribosomal RNA (645 nucleotides) under Neolaemosaccus sp. NLG-2014. Its description in RNAcentral is "partial 16S ribosomal RNA". The record is from RNAcentral. Lineage: Eukaryota; Metazoa; Arthropoda; Insecta; Coleoptera; Curculionidae.